AGCACUGAAUUGGCUAGGGGGCUUACCAGCUUACCAAACCAUAUCAAACUCAGAAUACCGACGAGUGAUGCUAGGGAGUGAGACUAUGGGUGCUAAGGUCCAUAGUCGAAAGGGAAAGAGCCCAGACCAUCAGCUAAGGUCCCUAAAUAAUCGCUAAGUGGGAAAGGUUGUGGGAUUACUUUGACAUCCAGGAGGUUGGCUUAGAAGCAGCCACCCUUUAAAGAAAGCGUAAUAGCUCACUGGACUAGUGAUCCUGCGCCUAAAAUUCAACGGGGCUUAAGUGAUUUACCGAAGCUAUGGAUUGAGAUUUAUCUCAAUGGUAGGAGAGCAUUGUGUAUGCCGAUGAAGAUAUACCGUAAGGAGUAUUGGAGGUAUCACAAGAGCUGAUGCUGAAAUGAGUAACGAUAAGGAACGUGAGAAUCGUUCCCGCCGAAAAUCUAAGGGUUCCUGGGCCAGGUGACUCCGCCCAGGGUUAGUCGGAUCCUAACGCGAGGCCGAAAGGCGUAGUGGAUGGAUAACAGGUUAAUAUUCCUGUACUUAGUAAUUAUCGUUCGACUUGGUGGAGUGACGGAGAAAGGUAGUGAAGCCACACACUGGUUAGUGGUUUAAGCGAGUAGGUGGGAGACUCAGGCAAAUCCGGGUUUCUAUUAACACCGAGACGUGAUGACGAGGGCCUAGCCCGAAGUUCAUGAUCCUAUGCUUCCUAGAAAAGCUUCGUAAGGAGAUGAUUAUUAAUCCGUACCGUAAACCGACACAGGUAGAUGGGAUGAGAAUUCUAAGGCGCUUGGGUAAACUCCAGUUAAGGAACUCUGCAAAUUGGUGCUGUAACUUUGGGAUAAGGCACGCCUUUUUUGGUGAUAGAACUUGCUUCUUGAGCUGAAGAGGGCCGCAGUGAAAAGGGGGUAGCGACUGUUUAUCAAAAACAUAGGUCUAUGCAAACUCGUAAGAGGACGUAUAUGGACUGACGCCUGCCCGGUGCUCGAAGGUUAAGAGGAGAGGUUAGAGCAAUCGAAGCUUUGAAUCGAAGCCCGAGUAAACGGCGGCCGUAACUAUAACGGUCCUAAGGUAGCGAAAUUCCUAGUCGGGUAAGUUCCGACCUGCACGAAUGGCGUAACGACUUCCCCACUGUCUCAACUGGAGACCCAGUGAAAUUGGAGUGCGCGUGAAGAUACGCGCUACCCGCGGAAGGACGAAAAGACCCCGUGAACCUUCACUGUAGCUUGGCAUUGGUUUUCGAAACACAUUGCGUAGGAUAGGUGGGAGCUUUUGAUCCGUGCAUUCCGGUGUACGAGGAGGCAACCUUGAAAUACCACCCUUUGUGUUUUGGAAUCCUAACCUACGAUCGUAAUCCGGUCGGGGGACAAUGUCUGGUAGGCAGUUUGACUGGGGCGGUCGCCUCCUAAAGAGUAACGGAGGCGCACAAAGGUUCCCUCAAGCCGAAUGGAAACCGGCUGUAGAGUGUAAACGCAUAAGGGAGCUUGACUGCGAGGCAAACAAGCCGAGCAGGUAGGAAACUAGGUGUUAGUGAUCCGGUGGUUCCGAGUGGAAGGGCCAUCGCUCAACGGAUA
RNAcentral lists this ribosomal RNA (1568 nucleotides) under marine metagenome. Its description in RNAcentral is "bacterial LSU rRNA". It matches the Rfam family "Bacterial large subunit ribosomal RNA", at positions 906 to 2458 of the family's 2925-position model. The record is from RNAcentral.